CCCUCUCAACCAGAUUGUGUCCAAAGAUGAAGUUGAAGAGUCGGCUAGCCGAAGAGUCUGAACUUUUCCAGCUUGUAACCAGAAGGACAGUGAGUCGCAAGAAGAGUGGCUCAGACACAGCUUAAAUUAAAUGGAACUUCCAUUUAAGUCAGAUCCAGUUACCUUCAAGGAGGAGGAAAAUUGGGCAUCAAACAUCAGAUCAAUGACCAAAUCAAACACAGGCUACAACAGCUGGAUGAAUUAGAAGAGCAUGCAAGUGAACACAAGGGACUUAACAUGGAUGUCUCACGAGUUACACAAAUCAGUCAUGAAUUCCAACCGGUCUGGGAUUUAGAUCAAAGAGUUAAAGCCCUAAAAACUAAUUAAGUGCUCUAUACUUCUGCUUAAAACUCACCCAUUUGCCUUUUAUCCGAGCAAAUUUGUCCCAAUUACCCAUAUUCUUGAUAAUUUUGGUCAAAUGGUUGUUAAAAGGGAUUGAUGCUGACAAAGUUAUC
Daphnia pulicaria is the source of this 494-nucleotide long non-coding RNA. RefSeq lists it as uncharacterized. Lineage: Eukaryota; Metazoa; Arthropoda; Branchiopoda; Diplostraca; Daphniidae. The transcript is spliced from 3 exons. The record is from RefSeq and is a predicted model, not a curated record.